AUUGAACGCUGGCGGCAGGCUUAACACAUGCAAGUCGAGCGGGGUGAUGGUGCUUGCACUAUCACUUAGCGGCGGACGGGUGAGUAAUGCUUAGGAAUCUGCCUAUUAGUGGGGGACAACAUCUCGAAAGGGAUGCUAAUACCGCAUACGUCCUACGGGAGAAAGCAGGGGAUCACUUGUGACCUUGCGCUAAUAGAUGAGCCUAAGUCGGAUUAGCUAGUUGGUGGGGUAAAGGCCUACCAAGGCGACGAUCUGUAGCGGGUCUGAGAGGAUGCUCCGCGACACUGGGACUGAGACGCGGCCCAGACUCCUACGGGAGGCAGCAGUGGGGAAUAUUGGACAAUGGGGGGAACCCUGAUCCAGCCAUGCCGCGUGUGUGAAGAAGGCCUUAUGGUUGUAAAGCACUUUAAGCGAGGAGGAGGCUCUUUUGGUUAAUACCCAAGAUGAGUGGACGUUACUCGCAGAAUAAGCACCGGCUAACUCUGUGCCAGCCGCCGCCGUAA
RNAcentral lists this ribosomal RNA (503 nucleotides) under uncultured bacterium. RNAcentral's name for it is "partial 16S ribosomal RNA". It matches the Rfam family "Bacterial small subunit ribosomal RNA", at positions 30 to 523 of the family's 1533-position model. The record is from RNAcentral.